ACGCUUUGUGGUUCAACUGAUUUGAAGAGCUUGCUCAGAUAUGACGAUGGACAUUGCAAAGAGUGGCGAACGGGUGAGUAACACGUGGGAAACCUACCUCUUAGCAGGGGAUAACAUUUGGAAACAGAUGCUAAUACCGUAUAACAAUGACAACCGCAUGGUUGUUAUUUAAAAGAUGGUUCUGCUAUCACUAAGAGAUGGUCCCGCGGUGCAUUAGCUAGUUGGUAAGGUAAUGGCUUACCAAGGCGAUGAUGCAUAGCCGAGUUGAGAGACUGAUCGGCCACAAUGGGACUGAGACACGGCCCAUACUCCUACGGGAGGCAGCAGUAGGGAAUCUUCCACAAUGGGCGAAAGCCUGAUGGAGCAACGCCGCGUGUGUGAUGAAGGGUUUCGGCUCGUAAAACACUGUUGUAAGAGAAGAAUGACAUUGAGAGUAACUGUUCAAUGUGUGACGGUAUCUUACCAGAAAGGAACGGCUAAAUACGUGCCAGCAGCCGCGGUAAUACGUAUGUUCCAAGCGUUAUCCGGAUUUAUUGGGCGUAAAGCGAGCGCAGACGGUUAUUUAAGUCUGAAGUGAAAGCCCUCAGCUCAACUGAGGAAUUGCUUUGGAAACUGGAUGACUUGAGUGCAGUAGAGGAAAGUGGAACUCCAUGUGUAGCGGUGAAAUGCGUAGAUAUAUGGAAGAACACCAGUGGCGAAGGCGGCUUUCUGGACUGUAACUGACGUUGAGGCUCGAAAGUGUGGGUAGCAAACAGGAUUAGAUACCCUGGUAGUCCACACCGUAAACGAUGAGUGCUAGGUGUUUGAGGGUUUCCGCCCUUAAGUGCCGCAGCUAACGCAUUAAGCACUCCGCCUGGGGAGUACGACCGCAAGGUUGAAACUCAAAGGAAUUGACGGGGACCCGCACAAGCGGUGGAGCAUGUGGUUUAAUUCGAAGCAACGCGAAGAACCUUACCAGGUCUUGACAUCCCUUGACAACUCCAGAGAUGGAGCGUUCCCUUCGGGGACAAGGUGACAGGUGGUGCAUGGUUGUCGUCAGCUCGUGUCGUGAGAUGUUGGGUUAAGUCCCGCAACGAGCGCAACCCUUAUUACUAGUUGCCAGCAUUCAGUUGGGCACUCUAGUGAGACUGCCGGUGACAAACCGGAGGAAGGUGGGGAUGACGUCAAAUCAUCAUGCCCCUUAUGACCUGGGCUACACACGUGCUACAAUGGCGUAUACAACGAGUUGCCAACCCGCGAGGGUGAGCUAAUCUCUUAAAGUACGUCUCAGUUCGGAUUGUAGGCUGCAACUCGCCUACAUGAAGUCGGAAUCGCUAGUAAUCGCGGAUCAGCACGCCGCGGUGAAUACGUUCCCGGGUCUUGUACACACCGCCCGUCACACCAUGAGAGUUUGUAACACCCAAAGCCGGUGGGGUAACCUUCGGGAGCCAGCC
RNAcentral lists this ribosomal RNA (1433 nucleotides) under Weissella confusa. RNAcentral describes it as "bacterial SSU rRNA". It matches the Rfam family "Bacterial small subunit ribosomal RNA". The record is from RNAcentral. Lineage: Bacteria; Bacillati; Bacillota; Bacilli; Lactobacillales; Lactobacillaceae.